This 667-nucleotide long non-coding RNA is filed under the name Equus caballus (horse). Its description in RNAcentral is "lncRNA (ENSECAG00000054227.1)". The record is from RNAcentral. Lineage: Eukaryota; Metazoa; Chordata; Mammalia; Perissodactyla; Equidae.
UUCGAGCCCACCCAGGGACGGCAGCGCUUGUUUUCCUGAGACUGUCUCUAUAGAGAUUCAUUUUAAAACGGCAACCAUGAGAUUUUUAAUCAAAUAGGUGUAAGACGCUACCAUGUUUCUAGGGCGGAGGAGGACAGUGCUCUCUUAACAUAGUUGGCACCUAACGUGGGUGGAUCUAAGAGUGACACUGCUUCUGGAUUGGCAGCCCAUGCGUUGUGAGUUCUCUUCCUACCGUAUAUCCAGGGGAAAUUUGCAUAUAUUCUUUAGGAGACCUGCCGAAGAUCGUUCACCAACAGCAGUAAUUGUAAUGCAAACCGCCCCCCCACCACCAAAAAAACAAUUGCCCAUUGACAGGUGACUGAAUAAAUACCAUUGGUUUCUCAGAAAAUCUGAUACCACCAAGAAGCAAAUGAAGUCAUUCAAUAUUGCCUUAUCUACUGCCAAAAAGAUUUGAGGAGCCCUACAGAUGAAAACAUCAGAGGAGACAUCUAAAAAAAAUCUGAUACCACCAAGAAGCAAAUGAAGUCAUUCAAUAUUGCCUUAUCUACUGCCAAAAGGAUUUGAGGAGCCCUACAGAUGAAAACAUCAGAGGAGACAUCUAAAACACAGGGAUUCUUUACAAUAACCACAAGUUCCACAGCCAGUGGGACAUCGGUUUACAACUGCA